AAGGGAGACCUAAUUCGGGUAUAAGACGAAAAAAUAGUAGUCGAAACCAAGAAUCAAUCCCAAAAGGUCGGAGCGAGGCAUGAGGCUUUCAAACUAGGUUCUGGGUUCAUAAAAGACCUGAAUCAGGAACAAGGGCUAUUAGCUCAGGUGGUUAGAGCGCACCCCUGAUAAGGGUGAGGUCCCUGGUUCGAGUCCAGGAUGGCCCACCUGCACAGGUGGUAAAAACAAAAGAAGCGAGGAAUCAGCACCUUAUCUUACUUAUACAGUAAGAGAGAAUGCUGGCUCUGAGUAAAGAGUCCAGAGGAACCUUGAAAACUGCAUAGAGCUAGGUGAAAAAGCCGAAAAAGAAGACCGCAAGGUCAAGCUAAUAAGGGCUAACGGUGGAUACCUAGGCAC
Molecule: transfer RNA, 396 nt
Filed under: uncultured Microcystis sp.
Lineage: Bacteria; Bacillati; Cyanobacteriota; Cyanophyceae; Chroococcales; Microcystaceae
Description: bacterial LSU rRNA
Rfam family: tRNA (bases 133-206)
Source: RNAcentral